AUGAAGCCUUUCGGGUUGUAAAGCUCUGUCUUUUGGGACGAUAAUGACGGUACCAAAGGAGGAAGCCAGGGCUAAUUACGUGCCAGCAGCCGCGGUAAUACGUAGGUGGCAAGCGUUGUCCGGAUUUACUGGGCGUAAAGAAUGCGUAGGCGGAUAUUUAAGUGAGAUGUGAAAUUCCCGGGCUCAACUUGGGAGCUGCAUUUCAAACUGGAUAUCUGGAGUGCGGGAGAGGAGAGUGGAAUUCCUAGUGUAGCGGUGAAAUGCGUAGAGAUUAGGAAGAACACCAGUGGCGAAGGCGACUCUCUGGACCGUAACUGACGCUGAGGCAUGAAAGCGUGGGGAGCAAACAGGAUUAGAUACCCUGGUAGUCCACGCCGUAAACGAUGGAUACUAGGUGUGGGGGCUGUCAUGGCUUCCGUGCCGUCGUUAACACAGUAAGUAUCCCGCCUGGGGAGUACGGUCGCAAGAUUAAAACUCAAAGGAAUUGACGGGGGCCCGCACAAGCAGCGGAGCAUGUGGUUUAAUUCGAAGCAACGCGAAGAACCUUACCUGGACUUGACAUCGCCUGAAUUACCUGUAAUGAGGGAAGCCCUUCGGGGCAGGCAGACAGGUGGUGCAUGGUUGUCGUCAGCUCGUGUCGUGAGAUGUUGGGUUAAGUCCCGCAACGAGCGCAACCCUUAUUGUUAGUUGCUACCAUUAAGUUGAGCACUCUAGCGAGACUGCCGGGGUUAACUCGGAGGAAGGUGGGGAUGACGUCAAAUCAUCAUGCCCCUUAUGUCCAGGGCUACACACGUGCUACAAUGGCGAGUACAACAAGAUGCUAAGCCGCGAGGUGGAGCAAAACUGUAAAACUCGUCCCAGUUCGGAUUGUAGGCUGAAACUCGCCUACAUGAAGCCGGAGUUGCUAGUAAUCGCGAAUCAGCAUGUCGCGGUGAAUACGUUCCCGGGCCUUGUACACACCGCCCGUCACACCAUGAGAGUUGGCAAUACCCGAAGUCCGUGAGCUAACGCGUAAGCGGGGCAGCGGCCGAAGGUAGGGUCAGCGAUUGGGGUGAAGUCGUAACAAGGUAGCCGUAGAAU
This 1080-nucleotide ribosomal RNA is filed under the name uncultured Eubacteriales bacterium. RNAcentral's name for it is "bacterial SSU rRNA". It matches the Rfam family "Bacterial small subunit ribosomal RNA", at positions 408 to 1508 of the family's 1533-position model. The record is from RNAcentral. Lineage: Bacteria; Bacillati; Bacillota; Clostridia; Eubacteriales.